UACAGAGAUCCCGAGCGUUGUUCGGAUUCACUGGGCGUAAAGGGUGCGUAGGUGGCAUGGCGAGUUUGAUGUGAAAUCUCCGGGCUUAACCCGGAAAUGGCAUUGAAUACUGCCGGUGCUGGAGGGUUGGAGGGGGGACUGGAAUUCUUGGUGUAGCAGUGAAAUGCGUAGAUAUCAAGAGGAACACCAGUGGCGAAGGCGAGUCCCUGGACAACACCUGACACUGAGGCACGAAAGCCGGGGGAGCAAACAGG
Molecule: ribosomal RNA, 254 nt
Filed under: uncultured bacterium
Lineage: Bacteria
Description: partial 16S ribosomal RNA
Rfam family: Bacterial small subunit ribosomal RNA
Source: RNAcentral